UACAGAGGUCCCAAGCGUUGUUCGGAUUCACUGGGCGUAAAGGGUGCGUAGGUGGCGAGGUAAGUCAGGUGUGAAAUUUCGGAGCUUAACUCCGAAACUGCAUUUGAUACUGCCUUGCUUGAGGACUGGAGAGGAGACUGGAAUUCACGGUGUAGCAGUGAAAUGCGUAGAUAUCGUGAGGAAGACCAGUGGCGAAGGCGGGUCUCUGGACAGUUCCUGACACUGAGGCACGAAGGCCAGGGGAGCAAACGGG
Molecule: ribosomal RNA, 253 nt
Filed under: uncultured bacterium
Lineage: Bacteria
Description: partial 16S ribosomal RNA
Rfam family: Bacterial small subunit ribosomal RNA
Source: RNAcentral